GCCUUCGUGGUGUAACGGUUAGCACACCCGGUGCAUAUUCGAGAGAUCCAGGUUCGAAUCUCGGCGAGGGCA
Non-coding RNA from Stegodyphus mimosarum, 72 nucleotides. Lineage: Eukaryota; Metazoa; Arthropoda; Arachnida; Araneae; Eresidae. The record is from Rfam.